ACGCACGCUGGCGGCGUGCUUAACACAUGCAAGUCGAACGAAGAGCGAUGGAAGCUUGCUUCUAUCAAUCUUAGUGGCGAACGGGUGAGUAACGCGUAAUCAACCUGCCCUUCAGAGGGGGACAACAGUUGGAAACGACUGCUAAUACCGCAUACGAUCUAAUCUCGGCAUCGAGGAUAGAUGAAAGGUGGCCUCUACAUGUAAGCUAUCACUGAAGGAGGGGAUUGCGUCUGAUUAGCUAGUCGGAGGGGUAACGGCCCACCAAGGCGAUGAUCAGUAGCCGGUCUGAGAGGAUGAACGGCCACAUUGGGACUGAGACACGGCCCAGACUCCUACGGGAGGCAGCAGUGGGGAAUCUUCCGCAAUGGACGAAAGUCUGACGGAGCAACGCCGCGUGAGUGAUGACGGCCUUCGGGCUGUAAAGCUCUGUUAAUCGGGACGAAAGGCCUUCUUGCGAACAGUUAGAAGGAUUGACGGUACCGGAAUAGAAAGCCACGGCUAACUACGUG
RNAcentral lists this ribosomal RNA (509 nucleotides) under uncultured bacterium. RNAcentral describes it as "partial 16S ribosomal RNA". It matches the Rfam family "Bacterial small subunit ribosomal RNA", at positions 29 to 507 of the family's 1533-position model. The record is from RNAcentral.